UUAAAAUGCAGACAAAGUUUAAAAAGCAAUAGAAGAGAGUUGCAGAAAAUCCAGAUUAAUAGUUAAAAGUUGAAAUAGUUUAUCCUCUUACACAGGGGUAUUAAUUACAAAGAGCAUCCUCAGUCUCAUUUGCAGAGUUUCCCUUUCACUAUCUGGAACUGAAGCAGUAGAUUAAUGAGAGAGGCUGGGAAGGUGCCACCUUGUAAGGAGCUGCAUGGAAAUGAACCACUUAAAAUGCACAAACAAGUUUUAUUGCAACUGCCAAACCUAGGAACCAUGUAACAUCCUACUAUAGAAUAUACUGUAACUAAUGACAUCAACUAUUUACACACAUUUAUUGUGUUGUUGUGUUUUGUUUUCAGAUCUCCAUAUAUAGGUGAACAUUUUGAAUUUUUUGCUAAAGAUUUCCAAAUUAACAUCUAAAGGAUUUUUUAUUUUCCUUUAUGUAUUCUCUCUGGGUUAUAUCGGUGCUACAGGGCUACUCAGCCCAUGCUGUAGCGAUUCCUGCUUAGAUGUUAUUAAUACAGUGCAGGAGAGGAUGGUAGAUACGAGUCUUGUAGAAAUGAAGCUAAUGCUGAGACUCACUGUUUUCAUUUCCCUGUGCUUUUGCAUUUAGAUUUCAUAGCACUGAAAGUCUUGGUGGGCAUAGUGUGGAUGGCUUGAUGGUGGAAAUGGAAGAUCUUGGUGGUCUUUUCCAACCUUUAUGAUUCUUUGUGAUUCCUGAGAGGAAAAAACACCAUUCCUGUUCACAGUGAAGGAGCCACAGUCCACCACCUCCAGGGUCAAGGCUUUGCCACCACCGCAGGGCAUGGAGUGCCAUAAGUAGUGCUGAAUGGAGCAAGGAGGAGGAGAUGGCCGCACACAUAGCAUGGAAGCUUUGACUAAUGGACUCCAGCUCUCAAGGCUCUUACUGUCAGCAGGAAGCUCCCGAGCAGUUCCUCACCUUCAAACUCCUUUUAAAGGUAUGGUAUUAUCAUCUUUUGCCAACAUUUCUAUUCAACUGAUAGAUUUAUGUUAUUCAUUGGAAAAAAAAAAACAAAAAUCCCACAAACCUCCCCCUGGGAAAGACAUGGGACAGGAGAACGCUCCCUGCGCUGAGAAUGUGAAGGCUAUGAAGGAAAAAACACUGUUUUUCUGUCCCAGCCCUGGAAGUGUCCCCAGAAGUGAUUUUGCCUUUUAUUAGCAGCCCACAGAGAUUAGAGCAGCCAGAGCUGUUUUCAAUCAGCCCUCAGAGACCUUUGCUCCCUUGAGCUGAGCUGCAACCAAUGUAACCUUGGUUGACUGAACUGACAUUGAACAUUGAACUGAAGGACUUUUUAAUUUUCUCUCGCCUUUUUUUUUUUUCUCCCUCUCUUUUUCAGUGUAUUUAAUACUGAUGUGGAUUAGAAAGCCUCUGAUGUAAAGGAGAGGGGGGCUCAAAUGGCAUCAGUGCUAUCAAUUUGUCUGUAACCAGUUCUUUAAGUGAGGCUUUACAGUAAGCCAGCCUGGAGCUAAGCGACUCUGCCAUCAUCAGGCUCAAUUCUGCAACACAAAAUACGGGAGGGACCAUUGCAGCUGCUCUGCAAGCCCUGGAAAUGCUGCUGAGAGCUGCAGCGGUUCCCUGCUGCAGGCACUGUGCUAGAGAGGCAUCCCGAGUGUUUGUAGUUCUCCCAUGAGAAAUUUCCUAUUGAGUACUGGAAUAUUCUAGAUCAAAACUUGGAGGGGGAGGGAGGGGAUGAAAUCUGAAGGGAAAGGCUAUCAUUGUAGCUCAUGAGCUGACAUUUCAUUCGAAGCCAAGAGAGAUAAGAAAAACAUCAAUGCAAAAUCACCUGAGUAAGUUUGGGAUGGCUUUGGCAAAUAGAGCUAUUAAGUAUUUCCAGGAGAUUUCUGCAGAUCGCCUUCCAUCUGUAUCCACAGUCCUGAUGGAGGAGCAAACAAAACACAGGUGGGUUGUUGUUCAGGGUCUCUGAAAAUGUUUUAUUCCUAAGGCUGUGCCAGCUAGCUAAGAAAAAAAAGGAAAACCUGAAUGAAAACAGUACUUAGAAUUUGAGCUGAACCCAACACAGUCUGUGAGAUAAUAGGUAGGAGCACUGGUUGGAAUCAAAUUAACCCUCAGUAGCCAGCGGUCAUUGCCAUGUGUACAAGUACAUAAAAUCUGAGUGGCAAAUGGUGUUCUGCCUGCCUCCACCAUUUUUUAUACUAGG
This is a long non-coding RNA of Coturnix japonica (Japanese quail), 2183 nucleotides long. The record is from Ensembl. Lineage: Eukaryota; Metazoa; Chordata; Aves; Galliformes; Phasianidae.